RNAcentral lists this ribosomal RNA (451 nucleotides) under uncultured bacterium. RNAcentral describes it as "partial 16S ribosomal RNA". It matches the Rfam family "Bacterial small subunit ribosomal RNA", at positions 29 to 523 of the family's 1533-position model. The record is from RNAcentral.
AACGAACGCUGGCGGCAGGCUUAACACAUGCAAGUCGAACGGUUGCAGCAAUGCAGCAGUGGCAGACGGGUGAGUAACACGUGGGAACCUUCCUAGGGGUACGGAACAACUCAGGGAAACUUGAGCUAAUACCGUAUACGUCCGUGAGGAGAAAGAUUUAUCGCCCUUAGACGGGCCCGCGUCGGAUUAGCUAGUUGGUGGGGUAACGGCCUACCAAGGCGACGAUCCGUAGCUGAUCUUAGAGGAUGAUCAGCCACACUGGGACUGAGACACGGCCCAGACUCCUACGGGAGGCAGCAGUGGGGAAUCUUGGACAAUGGGCGCAAGCUUGAUCCAGCCAUGCCGCGUGAGUGAAGAAGGUCUUCGGAUUGUAAAGCUCUUUUGCCAGGGACGAUAAUGACGGUGCCUGGAGAAUAAGCCCCGGCAAACUUCGUGCCAGCAGCCGCCGUAA